This is a long non-coding RNA of Thunnus maccoyii (southern bluefin tuna), 764 nucleotides long. RefSeq lists it as uncharacterized. The transcript is spliced from 3 exons. The record is from RefSeq and is a predicted model, not a curated record. Lineage: Eukaryota; Metazoa; Chordata; Actinopteri; Scombriformes; Scombridae.
CAAUACUAAGUAUAAUAAUAAUACAAGAGGCCAGAGUAAGCUUCAGAGGAAGUUCAGGGUAACGUGUGAGUGCACACAACUACAGUGAGUGAGGUAGGUCAAGUUUGGUCAGUCACCAAAGUAAUCGACUGAGAUCUGGGAGAGAGGCAACACUGCAUCUCAGCUAUCAACUCGGUGCUGGUACCAGCCCGGAUCCGCUGCCCCUCAGUGCCACAGCCACUGUGGAUUGACUGGUUCAAGACGCCGGUCUACUUAACUUUCCAGGUGAUGCUGGGGGUUGGCGCUGGCAGCGACACAGACAACGCUUGACACCUUUUGUCAAGCGUUGUCUGUGUUAAUUAUUGAUAGGAAUGUGAGCAUAGACUGAGUCUGAUUUCUCAUUUUGUUGUAGUUUUGGGGUCAUUGUUAGGAUGUGUAGCCUUCCGGUUAGUCUGUGAUGUGAGCCUAGCACUUUGCUAAAGCUGCCUUGCUUUAUGUGGUGUUAUCACUCAGACCUUGUAAAUCAUGCACUCUGUAAAUAGCUCUAACUCUGUAAAAAGUUGAGACCACUAAAACUUUCUUGAAGCAGUAAGGGUGAAUCGCCAUUUGCUGUUGUUUCCCAUUUUUGUUAGUAUAGGGAGUUAGGUUCAGAAAAUGUCUUUUGUUUACUCUUCUGUUUGAUUAGGGAAUAGUUAGAAAUUGUUUUGGGUGAGAUAGUUAGUUCUGUUUAUUGUUUUGGCCUUGAUUCACCCUGAAGCCUAGCUUCAUUAAUUGAAAAUUAAGUC